Molecule: long non-coding RNA, 997 nt
Organism: Misgurnus anguillicaudatus (oriental weatherfish)
Lineage: Eukaryota; Metazoa; Chordata; Actinopteri; Cypriniformes; Cobitidae
Source: RefSeq, a predicted model, not a curated record
CCGAGAGUUACGCUCUCGGGUUGCAUUGUGGGAUUGACAGCGUCGUUGAUGGCGUUCGGAGUCGGAGGCGUCAGAAUUUGCUUUAAAUUGCGGUGCUUUAUGUAAAUGAUGAAUGAAAAGCGUCUGUUUGUGACAGUGUAGGAUUGAGGUGAAUGAUCUACCAUCAGUUAUUAUUCAGUCACGCGCCAAAGAUGCAGUCAAGUGUGCCUGAAGUUCAGAGUCAUCAUAGACGUGCACGUGCAUAGUUGAAGAGAAGGAGGGACGUGUGUUGCCGGUGUGCGGUGGGCAGCGUUAGCGUAGGAUCUGUGGCCUUUCUUAAAAUCAAACCCUUGUUUGUGUUUCCUUUGAUUGAGAACACAUUGGCUCGGACCAAGACCGCUGGGGUACGUCUCUCCGGGUCACCCUGAGCCCCUUCCUCUCCUUAGAACCGCGGCGGGUGCGGGUCGCUUCGGGGGCCGCCGCGUGACCCCCAAAGAGAGGUCCUGCAGGGAAGUAACCCUUCGCUGGCUUCAAAAGGGGGUGACCUGUUUGCCACCAGCCGGCCCUGAUCCCCGACUUGCACCCAAAUACGGCGGCCCCCCUUUGACAGACAGGGCCCGACAAACAUGAGCUCCAGUGGGCUUAAGUUACUGACUACUAACUCAAUGAGAAUGUUAACAAGACGUCAAAUCACAAAAAUAUUGUGUGUGAAUAUGUGAAAUAUCAUCAUUUGGUGUAAAUUGCUCAGCAUGCUGUAUAUAGGCUAUGCCUGAUCUCACAGGAAUUCGUGCAUAUUUUACGAGUUUGUAUGAAUUUGCACAAUUUGUAUCAAAAAAAUGUAAACUCCGCCCCUAAACCCAACAUCACAGAGGGGAAAGCAAAUCGUACAAAAACGUACCAAUUUGGUCGUAUGAAUUGGCUAUGUCGUAAAACGUGUAUAUAUUUAUCCAUAUUUAACCCAACACAGGAUUUUUACAGGAGUGUAUGCAAAUAAAACUGUAGAACGUUUCAAACUGCA